AAAUUGAAGAGUUUGAUCAUGGCUCAGAUUGAACGCUGGCGGCAGGCCUAACACAUGCAAGUCGAACGGUAACAGGAAGAAGCUUGCUUCUUUGCUGACGAGUGGCGGACGGGUGAGUAAUGUCUGGGAAACUGCCUGAUGGAGGGGGAUAACUACUGGAAACGGUAGCUAAUACCGCAUAACGUCGCAAGACCAAAGAGG
This 201-nucleotide ribosomal RNA is filed under the name Escherichia coli. RNAcentral describes it as "partial 16S ribosomal RNA". It matches the Rfam family "Bacterial small subunit ribosomal RNA", at positions 1 to 209 of the family's 1533-position model. Lineage: Bacteria; Pseudomonadati; Pseudomonadota; Gammaproteobacteria; Enterobacterales; Enterobacteriaceae. The record is from RNAcentral.